RNAcentral lists this unclassified non-coding RNA (237 nucleotides) under Hevea brasiliensis (rubber tree). The record is from RNAcentral. Lineage: Eukaryota; Viridiplantae; Streptophyta; Magnoliopsida; Malpighiales; Euphorbiaceae.
ACUCCCUUGCCCCCAAAACCACCUCCGACCCUUCUUGUAAUUACACGGAUAUUGUGUGUAGGAACACCAAGACAAGUGGCAAUCACACGAUGUGCGCUCUCAGGGCACUGACUUGAAGUAUAAACAACCAUGCAGUUGUCUUCGUCUGGAAUUGCAAGAGCAGUCUGUGUCUCCAUAUAAAAAUAGUACUCAGAACCAAGUCUUACCUCAGCUGAGAGAAUCUUGUGAUCAGCUUCA